CCCUCUAAUCUCAGCCCCAUCGCAUCUACACAGUCCGCUAGACCCAUUUAGCCUACCCCGCAACCGGAACCGACCGAUUAUGAUCGGUGGGUCCGAAAACGGUGCAACCCCUAAUCCUAGUCCUAUUCCCCAUAUAUAGAUCAACUUCUAGUCUAACCCUAAAAACUAGGAACCCUGCCCAUCAUCCCUUCGCCGCCGCCACCCCAAACAUUGCCUCCAUUUCCGUGCUCGAUCAACCAGAACCACAGCCACCAGAUCCCCUUGAUUUCCCUCGCGCAGUCAGCCCGAGGGCUCGAUCCCGAAUGGAUCAAGGUGUUUUCCCCAACUCACAGCCGCGUGGGUCUCCAUGGCACCCAAGGAGAUGCUCCUCGUCCCCUGCAAGCCGAAGCAACAAGCCCCUCGUGACUUUGUCGGAGCACCAGGCUAGGACCCCGCAGCUCCCUUGCUUCAUUCCCUCUUCCCUGCUUCUUCCUCUCUCUCGUCUCAUCUCUCACAUCCCUCAUUCCUCACAAAGCCUCGUGCCAUGGAGCAAGCAGUGCUACCAUAAUGUCGCAUUGCCUCUGAACAGCUCAGGUCGCCCUGGACGUUGUAGGAUGCUCCAGCUCGACCAUGCCGCUGUCGGUAAGGUCUACGUCGUCGUUCCUCUACUCUCCAUCGUGCUUUUUUCUUUGUUGACCGAGGGUUGCCACCAUUUCCUCAGAAGCUAUGUUGUGACAUGGAACCUGUAGGUGCAGCAACAGCGGCCGGAUUCGGUGCCCCGAGGGCCAGAUCCAACCAUCCCCAACCGCCCUCGCCCGGAUCCGACCUCGCCCCCUCGCCUCCAGCAACUCCCGUCGUUGCUGCAUUUGCCCGAUGUAACACCGGACUCCUGAAGAACUUAAGGAGUUGAAAUUUCAGCAGGACUUACAUUGGUCGUUUUUGCCCAAGAAGAAAUUCAAGAAGGUUCAAGUUCAUGUGUUGGUGACCAGUUCAUUUUCUUCAUCGCGCUCGACGGAUGAAGCUAAGGAUCUUGAUGACACUUCUACCGGUCCCUCAUUGACAAACGACCCUGACAACGCUGGCGCUCCUCCAGCACCAACAAGAUGAAAUUCUUGAGGGGCGUUAGUCCUCAAUUUCAUCCAUUUUCGUCACUUGAUGACAAAGGUGGGAUUUUAGUUAAUCUUCAAGCGGGUCUACCUAUAUGGGCUAUAUUUUUUGUUAAGUUGCAACUCUCGUUCUUUUGAAGUGUUUGGUUGUAUGAGUUGUAAACUUAUGUCUGGUAGUGGUCUGAUACUUUUGAACCGUUUUUCUUCACAUGCUUAUUCCUCAUGUUGAUUAAUGCACGUGUGCUGAAUUUCGUCAUA
Hordeum vulgare subsp. vulgare (domesticated barley) is the source of this 1343-nucleotide RNA transcript. RefSeq lists it as uncharacterized. NCBI's taxonomy places the organism in Eukaryota, Viridiplantae, Streptophyta, Magnoliopsida, Poales, Poaceae. The record is from RefSeq and is a predicted model, not a curated record. The transcript has 2 exons.